GUGGGGAAUCUUGCGCAAUGGGCGAAAGCCUGACGCAGCCAUGCCGCGUGAAUGAUGAAGGUCUUAGGAUUGUAAAAUUCUUUCACCGGGGACGAUAAUGACGGUACCCGGAGAAGAAGCCCCGGCUAACUUCGUGCCAGCAGCCGCGGUAAUACGAAGGGGGCUAGCGUUGCUCGGAAUUACUGGGCGUAAAGGGAGCGUAGGCGGAUAGUUCAGUCAGAGGUGAAAGCCCAGGGCUCAACCUUGGAAUUGCCUUUGAUACUGGCUGUCUUGAGUAUGGGAGAGGUUAGCGGAACUCCGAGUGUAGAGGUGAAAUUCGUAGAUAUUCGGAAGAACACCAGUGGCGAAGGCGGCUAACUGGCCCAUUACUGACGCUGAGGCUCGAAAGCGUGGGGAGCAAACAGGAUUAGAAACCCUAGUAGUCC
Molecule: ribosomal RNA, 425 nt
Filed under: uncultured bacterium
Lineage: Bacteria
Description: partial 16S ribosomal RNA
Rfam family: Bacterial small subunit ribosomal RNA
Source: RNAcentral